AUUCCAUCCCGAGCGACCGAGAGACCUGGCUCGUCGACGUCGCAGCAACCUCCCUCGAGGACGGUGCUAACGCCAGGAGCGAUGGAGG
This 88-nucleotide non-coding RNA is filed under the name Prauserella sp. RNAcentral describes it as "SAM-I sequence". It matches the Rfam family "SAM riboswitch aptamer (S box leader)". From Rfam's summary of the family: The SAM riboswitch is found upstream of a number of genes which code for proteins involved in methionine or cysteine biosynthesis in Gram-positive bacteria. Lineage: Bacteria; Bacillati; Actinomycetota; Actinomycetes; Pseudonocardiales; Pseudonocardiaceae. The record is from RNAcentral.